Molecule: ribosomal RNA, 417 nt
Filed under: Salmonella enterica
Lineage: Bacteria; Pseudomonadati; Pseudomonadota; Gammaproteobacteria; Enterobacterales; Enterobacteriaceae
Description: bacterial SSU rRNA
Rfam family: Bacterial small subunit ribosomal RNA
Source: RNAcentral
AAAUUGAAGAGUUUGAUCAUGGCUCAGAUUGAACGCUGGCGGCAGGCCUAACACAUGCAAGUCGAACGGUAACAGGAAGCAGCUUGCUGCUUUGCUGACGAGUGGCGGACGGGUGAGUAAUGUCUGGGAAACUGCCUGAUGGAGGGGGAUAACUACUGGAAACGGUGGCUAAUACCGCAUAACGUCGCAAGACCAAAGAGGGGGACCUUCGGGCCUCUUGCCAUCAGAUGUGCCCAGAUGGGAUUAGCUGGUUGGUGAGGUAACGGCUCACCAAGGCGACGAUCCCUAGCUGGUCUGAGAGGAUGACCAGCCACACUGGAACUGAGACACGGUCCAGACUCCUACGGGAGGCAGCAGUGGGGAAUAUUGCACAAUGGGCGCAAGCCUGAUGCAGCCAUGCCGCGUGUAUGAAGAAGG